UGCGUAGGUGGUUUGGUAAGUUAUCUGUGAAAUCCCUGGGCUCAACCUGGGCAGGUCAGAUAAAACUGCUGGACUCGAGUAUGGGAGAGGGUAGUGGAAUUUCCGGUGUAGCGGUGAAAUGCGUAGAGAUCGGAAGGAACACCAGUGGCGAAGGCGGCUACCUGGCCUAAUACUGACACUGAGGCACGAAAGCGUGGGAGCAAACA
RNAcentral lists this ribosomal RNA (206 nucleotides) under uncultured bacterium. Its description in RNAcentral is "partial 16S ribosomal RNA". It matches the Rfam family "Bacterial small subunit ribosomal RNA", at positions 568 to 774 of the family's 1533-position model. The record is from RNAcentral.